CCUACGGGAGGCAGCAGCAAGGAAUAUUGUGCAAUGGGCGAAAGCCUGACACAGCGACGCCGCGUGAGGGACGAACGCCUUCGGGUUGUAAACCUCUUUUC
Molecule: ribosomal RNA, 101 nt
Filed under: uncultured bacterium
Lineage: Bacteria
Description: partial 16S ribosomal RNA
Rfam family: Bacterial small subunit ribosomal RNA
Source: RNAcentral